RNAcentral lists this ribosomal RNA (567 nucleotides) under uncultured archaeon. RNAcentral describes it as "bacterial SSU rRNA". It matches the Rfam family "Archaeal small subunit ribosomal RNA", at positions 326 to 900 of the family's 1478-position model. The record is from RNAcentral.
CGGGGUGCACCAGGCGCGAAAACUCUACAAUGCAGGCAACUGCGAUAGGGGAACAUCGAGUGAUCCUCAUAUUGGGGGUCUGUCCACCCGUCUAAAAAACGGGUGUUAGCAAGGGCCGGGCAAGACCGGUGCCAGCCGCCGCGGUAAUACCGGCGGCUCGAGUGGUGGCCGAUAUUAUUGAGUCUAAAGGGUCCGUAGCCGGCUUUGCAAGUCUCUCGGGAAAUCCAGCGGCUUAACCGUUGGUCGUCCGGGGGGUACUACAUUGCUUGGGACUGGGAGAGGUAGGAGGUACUCAGGGGGUAGGAGUGAAAUCCUGUAAUCCUUUGGGGACCACCGGUGGCGAAGGCGUCCUACCAGAACAGGUCCGACGGUGAGGGACGAAAGCUAGGGGCACGAACCGGAUUAGAUACCCGGGUAGUCCUAGCCGUAAACGAUGCUCGCUAGGUGUCACAACAGUCGUGAACUGUUGUGGUGCCGUAGGGAAGCCGUGAAGCGAGCCACUUGGGAAGUACGACCGCAAGGUUAAACUUAAAGGAAUUGGCGGGGGAGCACAAGGGCGAAUCGCGG